RNAcentral lists this ribosomal RNA (209 nucleotides) under uncultured bacterium. RNAcentral describes it as "partial 16S ribosomal RNA". It matches the Rfam family "Bacterial small subunit ribosomal RNA", at positions 568 to 775 of the family's 1533-position model. The record is from RNAcentral.
CGUGUAGGCGGUUGGAUAAGUCAGAGGUGAAAUGCCAGGGGCUUAACCUUGGAACUGCCUUUGAUACUGUCCGGCUAGAGGGCGGAAGAGGAUAGUGGAAUUCCUGGUGUAGCGGUGAAAUGCGUAGAUAUCAGGAAGAACACCGGUGGCGAAGGCGGCUAUCUGGUCCGCUACUGACGCUAAAGCGCGAAAGCCAGGGGAGCAAACGG